UGAAGACUUUGCCGGAUUAGCUGAGAGGUGGUGCAUGGCCGUCGUCAGUUCGUACUGUGAAGCAUCCUGUUAAGUCAGGCAACGAGCGAGACCCACGCCCACAGUUGCCAGCGUACUCUCUGGAGUGACGGGUACACUGUGGGGACCGCCGCUGCUAAAGCGGAGGAAGGAAUGGGCAACGGUAGGUCAGUAUGCCCCGAAUAUCCCGGGCUACACGCGAGCUACAAUGGUUGGUACAAUGGGUAUCUACCCCGAAAGGGGACGGGAAUCUCCUAAAACCAAUCUUAGUUCGGAUUGAGGGCUGCAACUCGCCCUCAUGAAGCUGGAAUCCGUAGUAAUCGCGUUUCAACAGAACGCGGUGAAUACGUCCCUGCUCCUU
RNAcentral lists this ribosomal RNA (379 nucleotides) under uncultured Methanosaeta sp. Its description in RNAcentral is "bacterial SSU rRNA". It matches the Rfam family "Archaeal small subunit ribosomal RNA", at positions 960 to 1338 of the family's 1478-position model. The record is from RNAcentral. Lineage: Archaea; Methanobacteriati; Methanobacteriota; Methanomicrobia; Methanotrichales; Methanotrichaceae.